CGUGCCAGCAGCCGCGGUAAUACGGAGGAUGCAAGCGUUAUCCGGAUUCACUGGGUUUAAAGGGUGCGUAGGCGGGAUAGUAAGUCGAUGGUGAAAGCCUGCAGCUUAACUGUAGAAUUGCCAUUGAUACUGCUAUUCUUGAGUGCAGUUGAAGUAAGCGGAAUGUGUAAUGUAGCGGUGAAAUGCAUAGAUAUUACACAGAACACCAAUUGUGAAGGCAGCUUACUAAGCUGAAACUGACGCUGAGGCACGAAAGCGUGGGGAGCGAACAGGAUUAGAUACCCUGGUAGACCACGCUGUAAACUAUGAUCACUCGCUGUUGGCGAUACACUGUCAGCGGCUAAGCGAAAGCAUUAAGUGAUCCACCUGGGGAGUACGUCCGCAAGGAUGAAACUCAAAGGAAUUGACGGGGGCCCGCACAAGCGGAGGAACAUGUGGUUUAAUUCGAUGAUACGCGAGGAACCUUACCUGGGCUUAAAUGCAGAACGACCGGUCGGGAAACUGACCUUCCUUCGGGCGAACUGCAAGGUGCUGCAUGGUUGUCGUCAGCUCGUGCCGUGAGGUGUCGGGUUAAGUCCCAUAACGAGCGCAACCCCUAUUGUUAGUUACCAGCGAGUAAUGUCGGGGACUCUAACGAAACUGCCGGUGUAAACCGUGAGGAAGGUGGGGAUGACGUCAAAUCAGCACGGCCCUUAUGUCCAGGGCUACACACGUGUUACAAUGGCCAGUACAAAGGGCAGCUACCACGCGAGUGGAUGCUAAUCUCUAAAGCUGGUCUCAGUUCGGAUUGAAGUCUGCAACUCGACUUCAUGAAGGUGGAUUCGCUA
Molecule: ribosomal RNA, 827 nt
Filed under: uncultured organism
Description: bacterial SSU rRNA
Rfam family: Bacterial small subunit ribosomal RNA
Source: RNAcentral